GAUGAACGCUGGCGGCGUGCCUAAUACAUGCAAGUCGAGCGAACGGACGAGAAGCUUGCUCCUCUGACGUUAGCGGCGGACGGGUGAGUAACACGUGGAUAACCUACCUAUAAGACUGGGAUAACUUCGGGAAACCGGAGCUAAUACCGGAUAAUAUAUUGAACCGCAUGGUUCAAUAGUGAAAGACGGUUUUGCUGUCACUUAUAGAUGGAUCCGCGCUGCAUUAGCUAGUUGGUAAGGUAACGGCUUACCAAGGCAACGAUGCAUAGCCGACCUGAGAGGGUGAUCGGCCACACUGGAACUGAGACACGGUCCAGACUCCUACGGGAGGCAGCAGUAGGGAAUCUUCCGCAAUGGGCGAAAGCCUGACGGAGCAACGCCGCGUGAGUGAUGAAGGUCUUCGGAUCGUAAAACUCUGUUAUUAGGGAAGAACAAAUGUGUAAGUAACUAUGCACGUCUUGACGGUACCUAAUCAGAAAGCCACGGCUAACUACGUG
This 497-nucleotide ribosomal RNA is filed under the name uncultured bacterium. RNAcentral's name for it is "partial 16S ribosomal RNA". It matches the Rfam family "Bacterial small subunit ribosomal RNA", at positions 28 to 507 of the family's 1533-position model. The record is from RNAcentral.